AAAUUUUUGACCCAACAACCAGGAGAAGAAAUUUCUCCACGACCUCGCCCAUGUGAAAAAAUAUCUGCAAUGACAAAAACGCAACUCACACCUAGCGCGCGCAGUUUCCCUACCAACUUUUGUCUCUUGCUUCGAUCCUCUUGCCCUACACUCCGGGCUUAAGCAGUCCCAAUCACAGGCAACUUCCCUUUUCUUCUGGACAAAGCACUAUAUACUAGCUAUCGCCACAAUCAAAUGCCUCUUCUAUCGAUCGCAGCAGCGUGGUUACGGAGAGCGAACCGGCAAAUCGACAGCCAAAUCCCCUUAUCUUUUCCAUCGGAUGUUUGAUUCCUGCAUGGCGAAUGGGACAGGUUAUCCUUAAGUGUGCUGCAUCCAAACCAACCCUUCCGAAGAAGUUUAGUCAUGCAAUAUUGUGCUUUAUGAUUUGGAAGCUAAAAGGAAAAAAGGCCAACACCGUUCGUUGGUCAUUUAUCCGUAAAUCCUAAAGCACAACCCUCGCAUGCUAAGGCAAGAUUGGAUGACGGGUACAGCAAAGAAAGCGUAUAUCUUGCACAUAUGACAUAGUUGACAGACGUCAAAAAGCUAUUACUUGUACAUCUGUAUCUGUGGCGGCUCAAUCAAGCUUUAGAAUAGUUGAUAGAAGUAGUUGUUUGUGAAAAAAAUGAUUCCUGGAAAGUUAACAUAACGACAUAUCUGUAAGUUCAUGAACAAAGCAUCUAGGCAGGCAGGCAGGCAUAUAUGGAUGGGCCGGAGGAUCGAAAAUGAAAUUUAAAAGAAAAGUGCAGGCAAA
This 790-nucleotide small RNA is filed under the name Histoplasma capsulatum var. duboisii H88. Its description in RNAcentral is "Histoplasma capsulatum H88 hypothetical RNA". Lineage: Eukaryota; Fungi; Ascomycota; Eurotiomycetes; Onygenales; Ajellomycetaceae. The record is from RNAcentral.